Molecule: ribosomal RNA, 444 nt
Filed under: Streptococcus mutans
Lineage: Bacteria; Bacillati; Bacillota; Bacilli; Lactobacillales; Streptococcaceae
Description: bacterial SSU rRNA
Rfam family: Bacterial small subunit ribosomal RNA
Source: RNAcentral
GACGAACGCUGGCGGCGUGCCUAAUACAUGCAAGUGGGACGCAAGGGAACACACUGUGCUUGCACACCGUGUUUUCUUGAGUCGCGAACGGGUGAGUAACGCGUAGGUAACCUGCCUAUUAGCGGGGGAUAACUAUUGGAAACGAUAGCUAAUACCGCAUAAUAUUAAUUAUUGCAUGAUAAUUGAUUGAAAGAUGCAAGCGCAUCACUAGUAGAUGGACCUGCGUUGUAUUAGCUAGUUGGUAAGGUAAGAGCUUACCAAGGCGACGAUACAUAGCCGACCUGAGAGGGUGAUCGGCCACACUGGGACUGAGACACGGCCCAGACUCCUACGGGAGGCAGCAGUAGGGAAUCUUCGGCAAUGGACGAAAGUCUGACCGAGCAACGCCGCGUGAGUGAAGAAGGUUUUCGGAUCGUAAAGCUCUGUUGUAAGUCAAGAACGUGU